CAUUCACGGAGAGUUUGAUCCUGGCUCAGGACGAACGCUGGCGGCGUGCUUAACACAUGCAAGUCGAACGAUGAAGCCCUUCGGGGUGGAUUAGUGGCGAACGGGUGAGUAACACGUGGGCAAUCUGCCCUGCACUCUGGGACAAGCCCUGGAAACGGGGUCUAAUACCGGAUAUGACCGUCCAUCGCAUGGUGGAUGGUGUAAAGCUCCGGCGGUGCAGGAUGAGCCCGCGGCCUAUCAGCUAGUUGGUGAGGUAGUGGCUCACCAAGGCGACGACGGGUAGCCGGCCUGAGAGGGCGACCGGCCACACUGGGACUGAGACACGGCCCAGACUCCUACGGGAGGCAGCAGUGGGGAAUAUUGCACAAUGGGCGAAAGCCUGAUGCAGCGACGCCGCGUGAGGGAUGACGGCCUUCGGGUUGUAAACCUCUUUCAGCAGGGAAGAAGCGAAAGUGACGGUACCUGCAGAAGAAGCGCCGGCUAACUACGUGCCAGCAGCCGCGGUAAUACGUAGGGCGCAAGCGUUGUCCGGAAUUAUUGGGCGUAAAGAGCUCGUAGGCGGCUUGUCACGUCGG
Molecule: ribosomal RNA, 575 nt
Filed under: Streptomyces sp. SID8455
Lineage: Bacteria; Bacillati; Actinomycetota; Actinomycetes; Kitasatosporales; Streptomycetaceae
Description: bacterial SSU rRNA
Rfam family: Bacterial small subunit ribosomal RNA
Source: RNAcentral